Molecule: unclassified non-coding RNA, 23 nt
Filed under: Mus musculus (house mouse)
Lineage: Eukaryota; Metazoa; Chordata; Mammalia; Rodentia; Muridae
Description: oocyte_clustered_small_RNA1903
Source: RNAcentral
UACUACAGCUUGGCUCUGGGGAU